UUGAACUCCACUCCCAUGCUGGUAGGAGAGUAUUAAAUACUAAACACAUUAAUCACUUUAAGGUACAUUUCAAACAGAAACAAAAAAAUGUCACAAUUAAUUAUGGACAAUCAUGCGAUUUAUCGCGAUUAGCCCCAAUUUCUUUCCAUUUGGUUGCUUUUGUUGUUUGUCUACUUAAUAUUUGGCACAGACCUGCAGCAUGCUUGUUUCAUAAACUCAAAGUACAAUUCAUGAUAGCCUGCCAGAGAAAAAAGGAAAUACAUUCGAGUGAGGAAGCAUCAUAAAGAAACAGUCAUAAAAGCUUGAUGUUUACUCAGAGUUGGAGAGUGAAGCCUAAUUUAUACUUCUACGGAAAAGCUCGCAGAGCUUCUGCAGAGAUGGUUUGCGGCGUGCUGCUAAUGCAGACGGCACUAAUGCAGACGCCGCUAAUGCAGACACCUGCGGGUCCAAAUCGAAAACAAAUUACAGACUACGUGCAGUACUAUAAACUGUAUGCCUGGCGCGUGCGAGAGGUGCCCGCAUACAACGCAUAAUAUAAAUCAGGCAUCAGGCUAAUGGCAUACCAAAACGAUGACUGUCAGGAGAAGCCAUGACUCGUACAAUAAUGCUUAAAAUUCUUCUGAGCGUGUUGCGUAAGGAGGUUUUGAUCUCCCUGAUAGGAACUCUCACUGCCACACCCAGUUGCUUAAAGAGACGAACAAAACAUAGUAAUAGCAAUAGUUUAAUAUGCUGAGAAAUCAUUUCAGUCCUUUGGCAGCAGGAAAAUGAGCACUACAGGGAGGAAUGCAUGGGCAAACCCUGUUAUCUCAUUGAUGAUUCCUUCAGAUUUGGAUUUUGGAACUUCAGAAUGCAAUAAGAAGUCUGUAAUUGCCUUUAAAAGCACAUUGUUUGAUGUCAUUUUUUUGGCAAACACUAGUUGAACUUGGCUGUUCAAAUCAAAGACAUCUGAGAGCGUUGCGUGAGUGAUCUUGUCGCUGUAAAUGUUCCACUAUAUCUGAUUGACCGGGCUGGUUUUACCAGUCACUCUGUCCCUGGGGGGAUGACGUGAGGAGUGACGGCAGCACUCCACUGUAUUUUAGCCCCUCCUCCAAAUACCAAAACACAGCUGACCCGCAAAAUAGAUCAUUUUUCUCUGCUUUAGUCAUUGACAGAGCCAUCUCAAACAUGGCAGUCAUCUCGUCCUGUGUAACCAACACCCCGCACUACAUCAAUUAAUAAGCAACGCCAGGAAAUACAACUAACAAAUGUAGUCAUUCAACCCCUUUGACCGCUGAAAUGGAAUAAUUAACUGCCCUCAUUCAGACUUAGUGACUGAAAGACGCUCCGUCAAAGCUAAACAAACCACAAGUAGUCAUGUACAAAAGAGUGAAAGUUACAGUUACCCACGCUAACUCUAGUUAAGUAAGAGUAGGGCCAGGCGAUUAUUCAAUAUGAUAAUUUAUCAUCUUUCAAUUAGGGCUGUCAUUCAAUUAAAUUAUUUAAUUGCAUGAUUGUCCAUAGUUAAUCACGAUUAAUCGCACAUUUUUAAUGUUCGAAAUGUACCUUAAAUGGAGAUUUGUCAAGUAUUUAAUACUCUUAACACGCUAAACUAACUCUACUGAAUGUGGAUUUCAAGUGUGUUUUACAUACAGCUGCCAAAUUGAAUUCUGAACUAGUGAUGAUCUUGCAAAAUCCAAACAGUACACUCCCAAUGGAUGAUCUGCUGACUUGAGAGUGUAAAAGCAGGAACAUGUGUGCGGAAGCUGCAUUAUAGCGGCGACGCCGAGCAUCAGAAUGUUCCACCAGCAUGUCGCACACUAGUGCGAGGAGUCUGACUCUGCUGCCAAGAUACAUAUCUCAGGUCAAGCUAUGCAAUGUGAAAAAUGUCCUUAAUGCUGCUCUGAGGAGCCAGAUAAGAAUAAUGGGGUACUUCAAUUUAUAUCUUCAAGUGGUUCGGCUCAGAACUAGCAACAUGAUCUUUAUUCUAUUUGUCAGGUUAUGUUAAGGUUUAUAAGGUCUCUUCCUGUUCUCAUCACUUUUAAACAACUCAGCAGAAAUUCUUGGCAGCAACAAUCUGACAAUUGAGUGGAUGCCGCAAGUGAAUACUAGUGUCACAGAGUAAAAACAAUACGACACAUUCCUAUCAAGCCAGCGGGAUGACGAACACACUCAAGACUAAACAAAGGUUUUACCAAGUGUGCACUUCAGUCAGUAGAAAUAUCGGAUCACGGUUUAUUAAUGAAUGUAACAUUAGGCCGCCUAUGCCUAGAUGGUGUGGGUUUUUACUAGGAUAUGUUGGGAUUUGAUUUAACUAAACUUGUUUGUAAUGUGGCAAGAUCCUGUCAAAGAAAUGUUUUCACAAAAUUAGUUGUUUGUGUAAAAAAUAAAAUAAAAGCUAAUGUAUAACAGCCUCAAAAAUCCAGUAUUGAAUUGAAGCCUAGUUGAGGUCAAGUAGACACAUGCACACAGCAUAAAUACAGGCUUGGUACAUGCUCACCUUUAACUAUGUUAAAGUUCACACAACACACAACACUGACAGUAACUCCCUCCCGACGUCUAACGGACCCAUAAAUAACUUCAAUCUACAGCAAACAUUCCUGCUUGGUGUUGUGCCUCUCUUUAAGAUGAAAUGUCACAGGAUAAUUUCUCUGUUCUGCAACCUCGUCUUUUGCCGCAUCUGAAUAUAAGAAUGCAUGGCCCGCUGACAUGGUCAGUUGCAUGAUCAAAAUCAAAAGUUCAUUGUUAUGAAUGUGACUGCACGUAAUCCUCUAGAUUUGAAUGUGGCCAUUAGUUAGUCCAGCCAUGCAUGGCUGAUUUGUGGUAUGAUAAAAAUGAAUACCGGGGACUUAACGAUGCACAAAUUGAGAGCAAUCCAUCCUUUAUAAAAACACAUUUAAGAAAAAUAAACUUGAAGAAUAAAAAUUUAAAUAAAAGCUCGUCGUAGUAACCGUUACCCCUCCGGCACAGGAAUGCUGCCAAACUUGUCUGGACACUGACAUGUUUACACCAUCUCCCCCUUCAUUGUGUUUGUCUGAGGGUCUCAGCGACUCAGAUUUCUGGAACUUUCCACCAACAACAAUAGUACAUCGCCUCCUAAUGAACGAGCUCAAGCUGAUGCAGAUUGUGGAGAAAGAACUGCAGCUCAGCAGGUGGAGGAAAGUGAACUUGCAUGGUGGCAUCCUUAGAAGUUGUAACUGUGUUCUGGAGAUCUCAGCAUUGAACUUGGAUAAAACAAAUGUUUGAAUAAGGAUUGAAAUGAUAGCCAAACCUACAAAAACAAAAAAAAGAUCCAUGAUGUAAGGAACCAAUGGCACAUUGGGAGGCAAUGCUCAAGACUGUGCAAAAACAUACAAGUUCUGACUGGAGCCCUGCGUAAAGCAUCCUGCCAGUUUAGUAAUCUGAGAGGAAUUUCCAACCAGAGGAAAUGUACAGAGGAAAAAUUAACCAGGAAUAACACCUGCAUCUCUCCUACAACCUACCGAUAUGCUUAAAGAAAUUUGCUGCAAUACAGAUUGCCCACAUGUCAAACUAAAUAGUUAGCAGGUUUGUAUUUAGUAUAAGCAAGUACUACGAAUUGACACAAGAUUACUCCAACAAUAAAAAAAAAAA
Long non-coding RNA from Sebastes umbrosus (honeycomb rockfish), 3588 nucleotides. RefSeq lists it as uncharacterized. NCBI's taxonomy places the organism in Eukaryota, Metazoa, Chordata, Actinopteri, Perciformes, Sebastidae. The record is from RefSeq and is a predicted model, not a curated record. The transcript has 3 exons.